GAAUAUAAAGAAUGUAGGAAGAUCUUCAUCAUUUCUUAAAUACAAUAUGUUAGAAAUUUUAAGUUUGAGAAAAAAAUUAUAGAAAUUAAUCAGUAAGUACAAUAUCAUUAUGUACAAUAUUACAUCAAUCAAACUAUAGAUAACCUGAGGUACCUAUUACUACAACUUUCAUGCUAUAAACAAUUUUCCUUGUGUGUCACAUGUGGAGCAGAUUAACAGUAACUGAUUUAUUAGUAAGUUUCAUUCCUUCAUUGUUGUAAUUCAGCUUUCAUGGUGCAGUAGAUAAUUAUAUAACCAUAACUAGACAGUCUAGAGUAACAUGCUAUUAGGAGAAUGACAGUUCAUAACAGAAACAGCAUUAAAUAAGAAUUAUUAUUUUGCAGACACAAAGCAAUGAGGAGCAGUCUGGAGCAACACAUUUGAUCUUCAGUGGCUUUACAAAGGACCAAGUGAUGGCAGAACUGAAGCUAUAUGCCUCAAAAGAGAAAGGUACAGCAAAGCUCUUCAGAAUGCUAUUCAAUAUAGAAGAGAUUAAAGGCCGCUCAUUGUUUGUAUGAGGAAAAGGGAACAGAGAGUCUGACACCAGACCUUCUUGUGCAGACAAGGCAAAACUUAAGUUCUUGGAAGUUUUAGAUUGUGCGCUCGAAAAGUUGCCGACAACCUAAAGGACUGAACUCAAACCGUCCAGGAAUAGCAAGAUAAACUGAAGAAAAUAAAUGGACUAAUGUUUUGCUAUUUUUUGAGACAAUAUAUAAUUUCAUAUGGGAACAUUAAAAAGGAUUAUUUUUAAAAUUUGUUUGUUUCCAAUUUAGGGUACAGGGUGACUUUCAAGCAGUUUCCAGCUAUUGCCACCCACAAGGUGAAAAUUUUCUGAAAGGGUGAAAAUAGGUGGCAUUUAGUGGAAACUGAAUUUGCCACUAUCUGGUGGCAAAAUGGUGGAAAAGUGUCUAAAUACUCCACCAAUUUUCCACCCUUAUGGUGGCAUUUGGUGGAAAUAAGUGGCAUUUGGUGGAAAAUAAGUUUGCCACUCAAUGGUGGCAUAAUGGUGGAAAUUUGUCUAAAUACUCCACCAAUUUUCCACCAUUAUGGUGGCAAUAAGUGGAAACAAGUGGCAUCUAGUGGAAAAUGAGUUUGCCACCCUAAGGUGGCAUAAUGGUGGCAUUAUGGUGAAAGUUUGUCUAAAUACUCCACCAAUUUUCCACUUAUUGGUGGCAUUUAGUGUAAAAAAGGUGGAAUUAACUGGAAAAUUAUAUAACAUCAGUCCUGCUCAAAUUUUUCACCAUUUUCAUGAUUUGGGUGGCGUUUUGGUGGCAUUAUUGGUGGAAAAUUGUCUAAAUACUCCACCAUUGAAAAGGGUGGCAUUUUAGUGGCAAAUCUAGGGACGGGCAUGU
Long non-coding RNA from Ruditapes philippinarum (Manila clam), 1391 nucleotides. RefSeq lists it as uncharacterized. Lineage: Eukaryota; Metazoa; Mollusca; Bivalvia; Venerida; Veneridae. The transcript is spliced from 3 exons. The record is from RefSeq and is a predicted model, not a curated record.